RNAcentral lists this ribosomal RNA (492 nucleotides) under uncultured bacterium. RNAcentral's name for it is "partial 16S ribosomal RNA". It matches the Rfam family "Bacterial small subunit ribosomal RNA", at positions 29 to 507 of the family's 1533-position model. The record is from RNAcentral.
AGUGAACGCUGGCGGUAUGCCUAACACAUGCAAGUCGAACGGCAGCAUGAUAAGCUUUUGCUCUUACGGGUGGCGAGGGGCGGGCGGGUGAAACAUACAUCAGCAUCCACUUUUUCGGGGGGGAUAUCGUAGGGAAACUUACGAUAACAGCUCAUACGCUGAACGGGUGAGUGCAGGAGAUCAUCGCCCCUUGCUCGAUUGAAUGAGCCGAUGUCGGAUUAGCUAGUUGGCGGGGUAAAGGCUCACCAAGGCGACGAUCCGUAGCUGGUCUGAGAGGAUGAUCAGCCACACUGGAACUGAGACACGGUCCAGACUCCUACGGGAGGCAGCAGUGGGGAAUAUUGGACAAUGGGCGAAAGCCUGAUCCAGCAAUGCCGCGUGGGUGAAGAAGGCCUUCGGGUUGUAAAGCCCUUUUGUUAGGAAAGAAAAGAAGCAGGUUAAUACCUGGCUGUGCUGACGGUACCGAAAGAAUAAGCACCGGCUAACUACGUG